Populus nigra (black poplar) is the source of this 3360-nucleotide RNA transcript. It is a transcript of the gene named zinc finger CCCH domain-containing protein 53-like, with no coding region annotated. The transcript has 9 exons. Lineage: Eukaryota; Viridiplantae; Streptophyta; Magnoliopsida; Malpighiales; Salicaceae. The record is from RefSeq and is a predicted model, not a curated record.
UCGUUCUUGGAAUAAAAAAUCUGAAUCCAAAUUUCAAAUUUAAAUUAUGGCAAUACGUGUAGAUUUAAUUCCUUCUUGGGAAAUGUUUAGGCGUGUUUACCGAAGAGGCCAGUGGCGUUACCUCUAUCCUUUCUUGUUUUUGAGGUUGAUCUGAAUCUUCCCUCCCGGAGUCCCACCUAGCCUUGUCUUCUUGCUCCAUUCUGUAAAAGACAAACCCUAAAAAAUUAAAGGGCGAGAAAGCAGAGAGCUAGGGAGAAACCCAAAAACCUAAACCAAAAGAAAAGAGUGAGGCAGAGAGAAAAGUGAGUGCAGGUGAGUUCACUCUCCCGGGGCUGGUGCACGUUUGCACCACCACAUGAUGCGGCUGCCCUCGUUUGUUUGCAGAAAAAUAUUCUUUCUUUUAAAAAGUGGAUUGUUUGAAAAUUAACUCUUAAAAUUUAAAUUAUUUUUUUAAUAUCUAACGUCAUGGAAAAUAAUUUCUAAUAAAAUGGAUUAUUUUUAAAUAUUUUCCUGCCCCCCUCUCUUUCCCGAGCACUUCAGCCUAUCUAUCUACUUUCCUGCUAUAGAAAGGUGAAGUUUUUGUGGUAUGUUAUUAUUUUGGGUUUUCCAUCACCAUGGAUUCUUAUGAAGCUGCUAACAUGGUGUUUUCAAGGAUCCAAAACUUGGAACCUGAAAAUGCCUCAAAAAUCAUGGGCUACCUUCUCUUGCAAGACUAUGGAGAGAAAGAGAUGAUACGUUUUGCCUUUGGACCAGAGACCCUUCUGCACAAUCUCAUUCUCUAUGCCAAAACCCAACUGGGAUUUCUCUCAAACAAAACCUCUUCUUCACCUUUUAUUCCUUCCUCCAGACCCAGUCCCUUGUCCAUCCCCUCUUCAAGAAUCACAAACAAUAAUGGCUUUGAAAUCACAAACCCCUCUUCUCCCUCUACAAACUCUUGGCAUUUUUCGACUCCCAACUCCACUUCUCCACUCUCUUAUGCCAGUGUUGUUAAUGGAGCCAGUAGUAUUAAUGCUAGUUCAACACCUUUUCAGCCCACCGUCUCGUUAUCUAAUGCGUUUCCUUACAGCAAUAACAAUAGUAGUGCCAGUGAUCUUGUUGAUGAAUAUGAACUCCAGGAUCGCUUUUCCUUUCUCAAUGAUUCAAAGACAGAUGGUUUAUUUGAUCCAAGGGCAGAGUUAGCCACGAGUCCAACUGAAUAUGGUGAUAACGGCUCGCACAAGCGAAGUUUUUCAGUACCAGACACGUGUGUUGGUUCGGAAGAUUCAAACUCCGGGUUUGGUUGGAAGCCUUGCUUAUAUUUUUCGAGAGGGUUUUGCAAAAAUGGUUCAGGUUGCAGGUUUGUUCAUGGAGAUUCAGCUGAUACUGCUGCCAUUGUUGGUUCACCAGGUGAACUCUACGAGUUUGAACAGUGUCUACAAAUUCUCAGGUCAAAGGCUGCUGCCCAGCAAAAGAAGCUAGCAGCAGCCUCCCAGUUCAUGGCUGGAGCUAAUUUUUUAUCUCACAAUAAAAGCUUGGACUUCCAUCAUCAGCAACAAAAUGACAGCCAAAGAUCAGCUGCGGUAGCUGCAUUGAUGAUGGGGGAUGAGCUUCACAAGUAUGGAAGAAUCCGGCCUGGAAGGAAUGAUUUUUCGCAAAUUGGACUGGGAGGGGCAACGAGCCCAAGUUCAAGACAGAUCUAUUUGACAUUCCCAGCUGAUAGUACGUUCAGAGAAGAAGACGUUUCAAAUUAUUUUAGCAUUUACGGGCCCGUGCAAGAUGUGAGGAUCCCAUACCAGCAGAAGAGAAUGUUUGGAUUUGUUACAUUUGUGUUUGCAGAGACAGCGAGGCUUAUUUUGGCAAAAGGGAACCCGCAUUUUGUAUGUGAUUCCCGUGUGCUUGUUAAGCCUUACAAGGAGAAGGGAAAAGUCCCAGACAAGAAGCAUCAUCAACAGCAACAGAUUGAGAGGGAAGAGUAUUCAGCUUGUCCAAGCCCAUCCAGGAUCAAUUCUAGAGAGGCAUUUGAUCUCCAUAUUGGAGCUAGAAUGUUAUACAAUACUCAAGAGAUGCUGAGCAGGAAAUUAAAGGAAGAGGCUGAUUUCCAGCAAGCUAUUGAAUCCCAAGGGAGAAGGCUAUUGAAUCUGCAACUUCUAGACUUGAAAAAUAACAAUCAUCAACAUCAACAUCAACAUCGAUACCUUCAUGGUUUGUUAACUGGGUCUCCGCCUACACCAACUAUCCUGCAGAGUCCCAACAAUCAAACUCCCUUUUUUCCUGUUGAUGACAUUGAUCAAGAUGUUCCUCGAGGUAAUGGUGGCAACCCUGAUGCCGCAGUUGCUCAAAAUGCUGUUUCAGAUGUUGACAAGGAAGGGGGUCCAGCUUGCGAUCACAAUGAUGGCAAUAGCAAUCAUAGAGAUAAAGAGGAGAAGUUCAACAAUGAAGAAACCUAUCUCCAUGAAAAUUUGGAGCAUAUUCUCCCAGACAAUCUCUUUGCUUCUCCUAAGAAAUCAGCUGGUGACCCCUUCACUGUCUUCUCCGCAGCUUCCGUGGAGGCUGAUGAAAAUACCACAAGCACUACAUCAUCUUCUCUCAACAUGACCUCUCUUAAAUCAUGUUCUCUCCAAAAGCCCAGGUUGUCUUCUGGGCCUGGAACCGCUGGUACAUAGGGGGCAAAAGUGAGCGUGGCCAGCAGUGGAGAGAUUUGACAAUUUUUUAGGAUAUAUUGGAAGCACAUACAGAAGUAAAAGAAAUCCUCUAGCUUGUAUUAGCCAAAAAACUAUAGCCACGACAAAGAAAAGGAUCUGCUGACCAGAUCUCAGCAAAGAUCACCAUCGUCAUUAAAACACACUACUUACAACGAAUACAUAAAAGCAUACAUAACAGAUGAACUGCAAGGGAGCGGGGGUCCCUCUCUGCGGGUAUGUACGUGCUGGGGGACCGCUCAACAAUUGCAUUGCAGAACAAACAAAAGUCCAGUAGUGAAUCCCUUAUUUGUAAUUCAAGUGCUUUUCUUUAUUUUGUUUUUAGUAUGAGGUGAAAAGAAAUAGAAAUUAAGACUGUAUGGAAGAAAAAUAGUACUUCUUACGUCACUGUGUACAGAAAUAGACCCCAGUAAGUUAAGAAGAUCUGUAGCAGCAGAAGUACAACCACUAGACACCCAAGGCAGACCAGACCUUAAAAGGUUAAGAAAUGCAAUGGCUCAAGUGGAGUGCAAGAGCUGUGCUUUUACUGUCACAGUGUCCUGUGCCCCCCAUUAGAUUACAGAACAGAUAGAGCUAUAUUUCUGGGGGAAAAAAUAUAGUCGAGGGUAAAUAAAAGAUUGUUCUUUCAUGUGAAUAAAAGAAACCACAAAAUAAACAAAGGAUUCCCUUCCUUUUUGUCUCA